GAUGAACGCGGGCGGUGUGCUUAAUACAUGCAAGUCGAGCGCACUGGCCCAAUGAUAUGACGUGCUUGCACUGAUUUGACGAUGGAUUACCAGUGAGCGGCGGACGGGUGAGUAACACGUGGGCAACCUGCCCUGGAGCGGGGGAUAACAUCUGGAAACAGGUGCUAAUACCGCAUGACUACUAAAACCACCUGGUUUUAGUAUAAAAGAAGGCUUCGGCUUUCACUCUAGGAUGGGCCCGCGGUGCAUUAGCUAGUUGGUAAGGUAACGGCUUACCAAGGCGAUGAUGCAUAGCCGAGUUGAGAGACUGAUCGGCCACAAUGGAACUGAGACACGGUCCAUACUCCUACGGGAGGCAGCAGUAGGGAAUCUUCCACAAUGGGCGCAAGCCUGAUGGAGCAACACCGCGUGAGUGAAGAAGGGUUUCGGCUCGUAAAGCUCUGUUGUUGAAGAAGAACGUGCGUGAGAGUAACUGUUCACGCAGUGACG
This 489-nucleotide ribosomal RNA is filed under the name Limosilactobacillus vaginalis. RNAcentral's name for it is "bacterial SSU rRNA". It matches the Rfam family "Bacterial small subunit ribosomal RNA", at positions 28 to 474 of the family's 1533-position model. Lineage: Bacteria; Bacillati; Bacillota; Bacilli; Lactobacillales; Lactobacillaceae. The record is from RNAcentral.